Molecule: ribosomal RNA, 424 nt
Filed under: Verrucomicrobiota bacterium
Lineage: Bacteria; Pseudomonadati; Verrucomicrobiota
Description: Verrucomicrobia bacterium partial 16S ribosomal RNA
Rfam family: Bacterial small subunit ribosomal RNA
Source: RNAcentral
UGAGGAAUAUUGGUCAAUGGGCGUGAGCCUGAACCAGCCAAGUAUCGUGCAGGAAGACGGCCCUAUGGGUUGUAAACUGCUUUUAUGCGGGGAUAAAGGAGUCCACGUGUGGAUUUUUGCAGGUACCGCAUGAAUAAGGACCGGCUAAUUCCGUUCCAGCAGCCGCGGUAAUACGGAAGGUCCGGGCGUUAUCCGGAUUUAUUGGGUUUAAAGGGAGCGUAGGCCGCGUUUUAAGCGUGUUGUGAAAUGUAGACUCCCAACGUCUGCAUCGCAACGCGAACUGGGACGCUUGAGUACGCGCAACGUUGGCGGAAUUCGUCGUGUAGCGGUGAGAUGCUUAGAUAUGACGAGGAACUGCGAUUGCGAAGGCAGCUGACGAGGGCGGCACUAACGAUUAAGAUCGAAGGUGCAGGAAUCAAACAGG